CCUACGGGGGGCAGCAGUGGGGAAUAUUGGACAAUGGGGGCAACCCUGAUCCAGCCAUGCCGCGUGUGUGAAGAAGGCCCUCGGGUUGUAAAGCACUUUCAGUGAGGAAGAACGCCUGGUGGUUAAUACCCAUCAGGAAAGACAUCACUCACAGAAGAAGCACCGGCUAACUCCGUGCCAGCAGCCGCGGUAAUACGGAGGGUGCGAGCGUUAAUCGGAAUUACUGGGCGUAAAGCGCGCGUAGGUGGCUUGAUAAGCCGGUUGUGAAAGCCCCGGGCUCAACCUGGGAACGGCAUCCGGAACUGUCAAGCUAGAGUGCAGGAGAGGAAGGUAGAAUUCCCGGUGUAGCGGUGAAAUGCGUAGAGAUCGGGAGGAAUACCAGUGGCGAAGGCGGCCUUCUGGACUGACACUGACACUGAGGUGCGAAACCGUGGGUAGCAAACAGGAUUAGAUACCCGAGUAGUC
This 465-nucleotide ribosomal RNA is filed under the name Vreelandella stevensii. Its description in RNAcentral is "partial 16S ribosomal RNA". It matches the Rfam family "Bacterial small subunit ribosomal RNA", at positions 338 to 795 of the family's 1533-position model. The record is from RNAcentral. Lineage: Bacteria; Pseudomonadati; Pseudomonadota; Gammaproteobacteria; Oceanospirillales; Halomonadaceae.